Molecule: ribosomal RNA, 1402 nt
Filed under: Psychrobacter glaciei
Lineage: Bacteria; Pseudomonadati; Pseudomonadota; Gammaproteobacteria; Moraxellales; Moraxellaceae
Description: bacterial SSU rRNA
Rfam family: Bacterial small subunit ribosomal RNA
Source: RNAcentral
GCAAGUCGAGCGGAACGAUGAUAGCUUGCUAUCAGGCGUCGAGCGGCGGACGGGUGAGUAAUACUUAGGAAUCUACCUAGUAGUGGGGGAUAGCACGGGGAAACUCGUAUUAAUACCGCAUACGACCUACGGGAGAAAGGGGGCAGUUUACUGCUCUCGCUAUUAGAUGAGCCUAAGUCGGAUUAGCUAGAUGGUGGGGUAAAGGCCUACCAUGGCGACGAUCUGUAGCUGGUCUGAGAGGAUGAUCAGCCACACCGGGACUGAGACACGGCCCGGACUCCUACGGGAGGCAGCAGUGGGGAAUAUUGGACAAUGGGGGAAACCCUGAUCCAGCCAUGCCGCGUGUGUGAAGAAGGCCUUUUGGUUGUAAAGCACUUUAAGCAGUGAAGAAGACUCCGUGGUUAAUACCCACGGACGAUGACAUUAGCUGCAGAAUAAGCACCGGCUAACUCUGUGCCAGCAGCCGCGGUAAUACAGAGGGUGCAAGCGUUAAUCGAAAUUACUGGGCGUAAAGGGAGCGUAGGUGGCUCGAUAAGUCAGAUGUGAAAUCCCCGGGCUCAACCUGGGAACUGCAUCUGAUACUGUUGAGCUAGAGUAUGUGAGAGGAAGGUAGAAUUCCAGGUGUAGCGGUGAAAUGCGUAGAGAUCUGGAGGAAUACCGAUGGCGAAGGCAGCCUUCUGGCAUAAUACUGACACUGAGGCUCGAAAGCGUGGGUAGCAAACAGGAUUAGAUACCCUGGUAGUCCACGCCGUAAACGAUGUCUACUAGUCGUUGGGUCCCUUGAGGACUUAGUGACGCAGCUAACGCAAUAAGUAGACCGCCUGGGGAGUACGGCCGCAAGGUUAAAACUCAAAUGAAUUGACGGGGGCCCGCACAAGCGGUGGAGCAUGUGGUUUAAUUCGAUGCAACGCGAAGAACCUUACCUGGUCUUGACAUAUCUAGAAUCCUGCAGAGAUGCGGGAGUGCCUUCGGGAAUUAGAAUACAGGUGCUGCAUGGCUGUCGUCAGCUCGUGUCGUGAGAUGUUGGGUUAAGUCCCGCAACGAGCGCAACCCUUGUCCUUAGUUACCAGCGGGUUAAGCCGGGAACUCUAAGGAUACUGCCAGUGACAAACUGGAGGAAGGCGGGGACGACGUCAAGUCAUCAUGGCCCUUACGACCAGGGCUACACACGUGCUACAAUGGUAGGUACAGAGGGCAGCUACACAGCGAUGUGAUGCGAAUCUCAAAAAGCCUAUCGUAGUCCAGAUUGGAGUCUGCAACUCGACUCCAUGAAGUAGGAAUCGCUAGUAAUCGCGGAUCAGAAUGCCGCGGUGAAUACGUUCCCGGGCCUUGUACACACCGCCCGUCACACCAUGGGAGUUGAUUGCACCAGAAGUGGAUAGCUUAACCUUCGGGGAGGCGU